UUGGUUAAGUUAGAAAGGGCGCACGGUGGAUGCCUUGGCACUAGGAGCCGAAGAAGGACGGGACUAACACCGAUAUGCUUUGGGGAGCUGUACGUAAGCGUUGAUCCAGAGAUUUCCGAAUGGGGGAACCCACUAUCUUUAGUCGGAUAGUAUCCUUACGUGAAUACAUAGCGUGAGGAAGGCAGACCCAGGGAACUGAAACAUCUAAGUACCUGGAGGAAGAGAAAGAAAAAUCGAUUUCCUGAGUAGCGGCGAGCGAAACGGAAAGAGCCCAAACCAAGAAGCUUGCUUCUUGGGGUUGUAGGACACUCUAUACGGAGUUACAAAAGAAAGUUAUAAAUGAAGCGGUCUGGAAAGGCCCGCCAAAGACGGUAACAGCCCGGUAGUUGAAAUGGCUUUCCCUCCAGAGUGGAUCCUGAGUACGGCGGAACACGUGAAAUUCCGUCGGAAUCCGGGAGGACCAUCUCCCAAGGCUAAAUACUCCCUAGUGACCGAUAGUGAACCAGUACCGUGAGGGAAAGGUGAAAAGCACCCCGGAAGGGGAGUGAAACAGUUCCUGAAACCGUGUGCCUACAAGUAGUUAGAGCCCGUUAAUGGGUGAUAGCGUGCCUUUUGUAGAAUGAACCGGCGAGUUACGAUUUGUUGCAAGGUUAAGCGGAAAAAGCGGAGCCGUAGCGAAAGCGAGUCUGAAUAGGGCGCAUAAGUAACAGGUCGUAGACCCGAAACCAGGUGAUCUACCCAUGUCCAGGAUGAAGGUAAGGUAAUACUUACUGGAGGUCCGAACCCACGCACGUUGAAAAGUGCGGGGAUGAGGUGUGGGUAGCGGAGAAAUUCCAAUCGAACUUGGAGAUAGCUGGUUCUCUCCGAAAUAGCUUUAGGGCUAGCCUCGAGGUAAAGAGUCAUGGAGGUAGAGCACUGUUUGGACUAGGGGCCCUUCUCGGGUUACCGAAUUCAGAUAAACUCCGAAUGCCAUGUACUUAUACUCGGGAGUCAGACUGCGAGUGAUAAGAUCCGUAGUCGAAAGGGAAACAGCCCAGACCACCAGUUAAGGUCCCCAAAUAUAUGUUAAGUGGAAAAGGAUGUGGGGUUGCUUAGACAACCAGGAUGUUGGCUUAGAAGCAGCCACCAUUGAAAGAGUGCGUAAUAGCUCACUGGUCGAGUGACCCCGCGCCGAAAAUGUACCGGGGCUAAACAUAUUACCGAAACUGUGGAUGAACCUCUUUAGAGGUUCGUGGUAGGAGAGCGUUCUAAGGGCGGUGAAGUCAGACCGGAAGGACUGGUGGAGCGCUUAGAAGUGAGAAUGCCGGUAUGAGUAGCGAAAGAAGGGUGAGAAUCCCUUCCACCGAAUAUCUAAGGUUUCCUGAGGAAGGCUCGUCCGCUCAGGGUUAGUCGGGACCUAAGCCGAGGCCGAUAGGCGUAGGCGAUGGACAACAGGUAGAGAUUCCUGUACCAGUGCUAAUUGUUUAACCGAUGGGGUGACACAGAAGGAUAGGGAAUCGCACGAAUGGAAAUGUGCGUCCAAGCAGUGAGUGUGAGAAGUAGGCAAAUCCGCUUCUCGCGAAGCAUGAGCUGUGAUGGGGAAGGAAAUUAAGUACGGAAGUUCCUGAUUUCACGCUGUCAAGAAAAGCCUCUAGGAAGAGUAGUACUGCCCGUACCGCAAACCGACACAGGUAGAUGAGGAGAGAAUCCUAAGGUGAGCGAGAGAACUCUCGUUAAGGAACUCGGCAAAAUGACCCCGUAACUUCGGGAGAAGGGGUGCUCUAUUAGGGUGCAAGCCCGAGAGAGCCGCAGUGAAUAGGCCCAGGCGACUGUUUAGCAAAAACACAGGUCUCUGCAAAACCGUAAGGUGACGUAUAGGGGCUGACGCCUGCCCGGUGCUGGAAGGUUAAGAGGAGUGCUUAGCUUCGGCGAAGGUACGAAUUGAAGCCCCAGUAAACGGCGGCCGUAACUAUAACGGUCCUAAGGUAGCGAAAUUCCUUGUCGGGU
RNAcentral lists this ribosomal RNA (1986 nucleotides) under Escherichia coli. RNAcentral's name for it is "partial 23S ribosomal RNA". It matches the Rfam family "Bacterial large subunit ribosomal RNA", at positions 1 to 1977 of the family's 2925-position model. The record is from RNAcentral. Lineage: Bacteria; Pseudomonadati; Pseudomonadota; Gammaproteobacteria; Enterobacterales; Enterobacteriaceae.